RNAcentral lists this ribosomal RNA (1346 nucleotides) under uncultured bacterium. RNAcentral's name for it is "partial 16S ribosomal RNA". It matches the Rfam family "Bacterial small subunit ribosomal RNA", at positions 28 to 1381 of the family's 1533-position model. The record is from RNAcentral.
GACGAACGCUUGCGGCGUGCUUAACACAUGCAAGUCGAACGGAAAGGCCCUGCUUUUGUGGGGUGCUCGAGUGGCGAACGGGUGAGUAACACGUGAGUAACCUGCCCUUGACUUUGGGAUAACUUCAGGAAACUGGGGCUAAUACCGGAUAGGAGCUCCUGCUGCAUGGUGGGGGUUGGAAAGUUUCGGCGGUUGGGGAUGGACUCGCGGCUUAUCAGCUUGUUGGUGGGGUAGUGGCUUACCAAGGCUUUGACGGGUAGCCGGCCUGAGAGGGUGACCGGCCACAUUGGGACUGAGAUACGGCCCAGACUCCUACGGGAGGCAGCAGUGGGGAAUAUUGCACAAUGGGCGGAAGCCUGAUGCAGCAACGCCGCAUGCGGGAUGACGGCCUUCGGGUUGUAAACCGCUUUCGCCUGUGACGAAGCGUGAGUGACGGUAAUGGGUAAAGAAGCACCGGCUAACUACGUGCCAGCAGCCGCGGUGAUACGUAGGGUGCGAGCGUUGUCCGGAUUUAUUGGGCGUAAAGGGCUCGUAGGUGGUUGAUCGCGUCGGAAGUGUAAUCUUGGGGCUUAACCCUGAGCGUGCUUUCGAUACGGGUUGACUUGAGGAAGGUAGGGGAGAAUGGAAUUCCUGGUGGAGCGGUGGAAUGCGCAGAUAUCAGGAGGAACACCAGUGGCGAAGGCGGUUCUCUGGGCCUUUCCUGACGCUGAGGAGCGAAAGCGUGGGGAGCGAACAGGCUUAGAUACCCUGGUAGUCCACGCUGUAAACGGUGGGUACUAGGUGUGGGGUCCAUUCCACGGGUUCCGUGCCGUAGCUAACGCUUUAAGUACCCCGCCUGGGGAGUACGGCCGCAAGGCUAAAACUCAAAGGAAUUGACGGGGCCCCGCACAAGCGGCGGAGCAUGCGGAUUAAUUCGAUGCAACGCGUAGAACCUUACCUGGGUUUGACAUGGAUCGGGAGUGCUCAGAGAUGGGUGUGCCUCUUUUGGGGUCGGUUCACAGGUGGUGCAUGGCUGUCGUCAGCUCGUGUCGUGAGAUGUUGGGUUAAGUCCCGCAACGAGCGCAACCCUUGUUCACUGUUGCCAGCACGUUAUGGUGGGGACUCAGUGGAGACCGCCGGGGUCAACUCGGAGGAAGGUGGGGAUGACGUCAAGUCAUCAUGCCCCUUAUGUCCAGGGCUUCACGCAUGCUACAAUGGCUGGUACAGAGAGUGGCGAGCCUGUGAGGGUGAGCGAAUCUCGGAAAGCCGGUCUCAGUUCGGAUUGGGGUCUGCAACUCGACCUCAUGAAGUCGGAGUCGCUAGUAAUCGCAGAUCAGCAACGCUGCGGUGAAUACGUUCCCGGGGCU